This is an RNA transcript of Sceloporus undulatus (fence lizard), 11155 nucleotides long. It is a transcript of the gene named RNA binding motif protein 33, with no coding region annotated. The record is from RefSeq and is a predicted model, not a curated record. The transcript has 20 exons. NCBI's taxonomy places the organism in Eukaryota, Metazoa, Chordata, Lepidosauria, Squamata, Phrynosomatidae.
GUCUGCCUUUUUUUGCUUUCCUCUCCUAGAGGCCGGCCGCCAUGUUGUGCUAGUUUUGUGCUCGGCGGAGGCAGAGGCGGAGGCUCCAAUACAGACGAGAACCAGGAGGAAGGUCUGUCGCGGGGGCCUCGGAGCUCGGCUUCGCCAUGGCAGCCGCCUUGGGGGGAGGCGGAGGCGGCAGCGGAGGCGGAGCAGAUGAUGACUUUGAUCAGUUUGAUAAGCCUGGUGCAGAGAGAUCUUGGAGGAGGAGGACUGGAGAUGAUGACUGGGACAGUGAAUUAGAUGAUGACUUGCUAGGAGAAGAUUUGCUGACUGGCAAAAAGACUCAAUCAGACAUGUCAGAUGAAGAAUUGAAUGAUGAUCUCCUACAGAGUGACAAUGAAGAAGAUCAACAUUUCAGCACACAGGAUGUCUCCAUUAGUCUUAAUGCUACCUCUGGAAUGGUUACAUCCUUCGAAUUUUCUGAGAGUGUAAACGAUCCCUCAAUUGAGCAAGAUUCAGAGUAUGAACAAGGGGAGGACGAACUGGGCUAUGACAAGUCAGAAGUGACUGAAGAGUAUGCUGAGGAGUACACAGAAGAAGGACAGUAUGAAGGCCAAGAGACUGAGCUGACAGAAGACCAAAUAGAAUAUGGGGAAGAUCAGGGAGAAGAAGAGAUUUAUAAUGAUGAAGUGUUAGAUCUCGAAAUCAAUGAACCUCUAGAUGAAUUUCCUGAUGAAGAAUAUAUGCAGUCCUACAGUGAACAGCAAGUCAUUGAACAGCAGGAGUAUGUAGCUGAAGAGGAACUGGAAGAGGUUGCUGAAGCUCAGACACCUCCAAAUGAGUCAGAAGAGGCAGUUAUUGAAAAUCUGGAGCUUCAAGAAGAAACCAAAGAAGAAUCAGAUGAGGAAGAAGAAGAUGAUGAAGAGUCUGGUCGACUUCGUUUUAAAACUGAACGGAAAGAAGGAACAAUCAUUAGGCUUUCAGAUGUGACAAGAGAACGAAGAAACAUUCCAGAAACGUUGGAACUUUCUGCUGAAGCCAAAGCUGCAUUACAUGAAUUUGAGGAGCGGGAAAGACAGAUGAAGCAGGGACGUUAUGGCUCAAGAAGAGGAGGAAGGCGAGGAGGGCCUUUGAUGUGUCGUGGAAUGGGAGAACAAAGAAGAGACAACAAUGAAAGAGGAAGAAUGAAGGAUCACAGGCCUGCACUGCUGGCGACUCAGACAGCUAUUACGGCUCAUUCAGAGAGGAUAUUUCGUCAUCAGCAACCCAUUAGGAAUCUUUUCCAGCAACAGCAGCAACAGCAGUUACAGGGUCUGCUACCCAUUCCCCCUCAGCAUCACACACCACCCCCUCCCCCUCAAGGGAUUCAUAUGCCACCCCAACUGGAAACACCAAGAAUACUGAUGACUCCUCCUCCAGUGACAUCUCAGCAGCCAAAAAACAUACACAUAAACCCACACUUCAAAGGGACUGUAGUAACACCUGUACAAGUGCCCUUGCUGCCAGUACCAGCCCAGCCAAGACCUGCUGUAGGACCCCAGAGAUUUCCUGCCCCUCCAGAUUUUCAGCAGAACCCUCCUGGCCCUGUUCCUACUAACUUCAAUCAAGCCCCAAGACUCUCCCUGCAGGACCAGUGGAGAGGGCCGCCACCACCUCUGCCACCUCCACCUCCUCAGGACAGAGACCCUUUCUUCAUGGGAGAGCCAAGAUUUCCCAGCCAUCACUUGUUUGAGCAACGGAGUCCACCACCACCACCUCCACUCCUCAACAGCACCCAUCCUGUUCCUGGCCAAAAUCCACUUAGUUUCACUCAACCUGGACCAGCUUUUAGUCAGCAGGGACAACAGCCCAUGUUUCCCAGGGAGAGGAUGGUGAGGCCUAACCUUCAACCACAGGGCCCAGUAGGAGUCCUUCACUUCAAUCAGCCUGGAGCAGCAAAUACCCGACCUUUCCUUCCUCCUCGGCAGUCAUUUGUGCAAGUUCCAGGGCAGCCAUUCUUGACAGCUCUCACACAGCCCAGUAUGCAGGGUCCAUUGCACCCACCUCUGCAGCAGCACCAGCACCAGCAGCAUCCGCAGCUACCGCAACAGCACCAACAGCAUCAGCAACACCAACAGCCACCACCUCAGCAUCCCCAGCAUCAGCAGCAUCCCCAGCCACCACCGCAGCAACAUCACCAGCAGCAUCAGUCACACCAGCAGCAGCACCACCUCCUUGUUGUACCUCCUCAGCCUCUGAUUCCAGUUGCCCCAUCCCAGUUCAGACCCCACAUGCAAACUACACAGCAACAGUCAGGCAAUCGGAUUCAGUGUCAGCAACGGCAAGGUCUUGUAAAGGCCAGGCAUAAUACACCAACACAAAACAUUGUGAAGCGUCCAAAUCAACAACUCCAGUCGCCCGCUCAAAGGAACAGUAAUUUGCGUGAAUUGCCAAUAGCACCUUUGCAUACAAUAGAAGCUGCAAGCAAUCAUCGAACCUCAACACCUGCUGUUCAAGUGAAACCCAUUGCCAGCACCACCCCUGCUGUAAGGCCUCCUGCAGGCAUGAGGAAUGAACAGGGAAGAACUGAGGCAAAACCUAAAACUGUUACUCCUGGGGCACAGCCUAAAGUGGAAGCCAAAUCUGAACCAGAGUUUCCCGAUGAAGAUGAAGAAACCAGACUCUACCGCUUGAAGAUAGAGGAGCAGAAACGUCUCAGGGAAGAGAUCCUUAAACAAAAGGAGCUCAGGCGGCAACUUCAGGCUGGGGCUCGAAAAAGAGAGUUGCUUGAAAGGCUGGCCCAGCAGCAGCAGUGUUCUCUGACACAACAGCAGGAGGAGGAGACCACAUCACAGUCACCCACCAAUGGAAACCCACUGCUUCCCCUUCCUGGUGCACCACCCCGCCAAAAUGUGAAAUACAGGCUGAUGGUUAAAAAACAAGACCCAGUAGUUCCCAAUUCACCUGCUGUCCAGCCUAAGCCCACCAAUAUUCUGCAAGCUGGAGAUAAUGCACAGUUUCAAGGACAGCAAAUAAAAACUGUGAAGCAGCUGAGACAGACUAGGACAAUGCCUGAAAAUGAGCUCCUGCCCCCAUAUAAAGGGGUGCAAACAAAGUCUGGUGGAGUGCACAUGAACCCCUCUCAAAUUGCUCGGGUGGCAUCGGUACAAGGCCAACCUCAGGAACUGAAGCCUGGGGUGAAAAGAACUGUCAUGCAACGGGCAAACAGUGGUAGUGGAGAUGGGCCCCAUGUCGGCACCAAAGUCAGGGUGAUUAAAUUGUCAGGAGGGGGUGGUGAGAAUGUUGGCUUUUCUCAUUCGGAAGGGCUUCCCCACCGGCUCCAGCAACUUCCAGAUCAGAGGCAUCAGCCAGUACGGAAGGUCACAUUGACAAAGGGAACAGUGCAGCAGCCUCACCAGCCUCAUCUGCACCAGCUGGCACAGAUUCAUGCUGCAUUUCCACCUGGGCUGAAAAACAUCCCUGGGAUACAUCAGGCAAAAAAGGUCAUUCCUCACGGGAGAGGCAGAGGCCUGGCAGGCCAGAUGGGCCGAGGACGCUUGAUGCCAAACAAACAGAAUCUGCGAGUGGUAGAGUGCAAACCUCAGCCCUGUGUUGUGUCAGUUGAAGGGCUUUCUUCAUCAACCACGGAUGUCCAACUGAAAAACCUGCUGAUGUCGGUAGGACCCAUUCAGCACCUGUUUUUGGAAUCCCCAAAGCAGAAGCUGGUAAAAGUUUACAGAUGCUUCCUCAGCAACGAAAGGCUAUAGCAAAAUUUAAAGAACCAGCAGAUGCUUUAAAGUUUCAACAGAAGUUUCACAGGCAUAUGAUAGAUUUGUCACACAUCAACGUGGCACUGAUAGUAGAGUGAUAUGCUGAAUUGAGUGAUCCACACACUACCGGAAGCAUGACAUGGAGGAAGUCACAAGGUUGGGACCUCUCCCUGUGAUCUCCAGUUCCAGCUUUGCAGUGUCCCUUUGAAACUUCAGACUACCCUGUGGCACUAUAGACAGCAACAACAUUGCUGCAAUGGAAGCUGAGAUUUCAAGGAUCAAGAAUGGAGAGAUUUUUCUCUUGGCUUUCUUUUACUGUGUUGAACAUAUGGAACCUAGUGAUACUGUGCUUGAGCUGUACCUGCAGAUGUCUUUCAGAAGAUACACUGUGUGGCCACACUGACUCAGAUUAAAAGAACACUAACUUUGGUUUUUUUUAAUCUUUCAUGCAAAGAAUAUUUGAUAAUGGUUGCUCUUAUCUUCAAAGUGAGGUGUUGAAAUGAGAAUAUGCACCCAUAUCUACCUUUUGUAGUUAAGUAGAUAAGUGCACAUAAUGUAGAAUAAAAUCUGGGGUAUGUAAUUUGUUGAUAUUUUGCCAAGAGGCUUCAGAGCUACUUCUUGAAAGCACUUACUUUCAGUCAGGUGAAUGCAGUUCUUUGCAACACAGUCUUGCAAAUUCUCUUGACAUACAUUCCCCUUCCAACAUAGUUUUAUAGGAAUAAUCUCACAAUUUUGACAUAACUAGUAUAUAUAUCUUCUCAGAGUCUCUGAAAGGCAAAGCUUUAAGCAUUCUUUUGUUAGUUUGCUUUUAUGGCAAUUGCAAGGGAUCAUGUAAGGGAGGAUAGGGUUGAGAACCUGUACACAUUCAGGUUUGUUAUAAUGCUAGUGGUAGUACACACAGGGGGAAAAACUUGACAGGCUUCUGUUGUGCAAAUUGCCUAUAAUCUAAAGUUAGGCAUCUUUCUAUAGGAUUUUCUGUAUCUUAUACUUUGCAGCAAAGACUGCAUAACAGCAGAAGCUGUACUCUAAUGUUCUUACUCCAAGUUAAAAUUAUGGUUUUUCUACCCUGAGGCAUGGAGCUGGGUUUUUAAAAAAUUAUGUGCAGACCUGAAGGAAACUUUGUUUUAUUCUUAGUAAAAUCUGUUGCCUUGCCCUGCUGGUGGUUUCCAAAGUAAGGCAUUUUUUGUUUAUCAGAAACUCCUUGGUUUCCAGCUUUAUUUGGGCUGUGGGGAGGGUCUUUCCUAAUUAUUUCUAGAAAUAUAUUUCAGUGCUAGUUAACAUAGUGGCUACAGAGAAGGAGCAGUAACUUAGAAUGUGCUGCAGUAAUUUUUUUAAAAAAUUGUAAAUAGAGACUAAAAUAUUAAUGCUGAAGCAGGUGGAAGAAUAUUGUUCUUUAAGGCCUGCAAUUUUAUGUGAGAUCAAAAGGUGGUAAUCUUUUUGUUUCAGCUAUUUAAAAUCAAACUCUGGUAAAGAGUUUUAACAAGUUAAAACCAUUGUGGGCAUGUAUUUUAAAGACUGAAUGGCUUUCAUGUCCUGCUAGAAAUGUCGCAGGAGUUGUAUAAGGGAUGUGUUGUGGUAAAAGUGUGGUUGUUUUAAGUACAUUUUAAACAAAUGUCUAGUAAACACAUCUUAACCCUUGUACAGUACCUGGCGUGGAUUUGUCUAUUGAACCAGUACUUGUCUUGACCCAUGGAAUUUUGGUUUGCUUUAGUUAAACCUUUUCUCUAUUCAGGGUUAUUUCAAAGGUUUACAAGCAUCAGGUUCAGGCAGUUAGAACCACAGAGAUGACUGAAUUGAGCUUCAAGGGAGUUUUGGUCUUUAAGGAAGACACAUAAGCCUUCCUUGCAGUUUCUGUUAAAGACAUUCACAGAAUUUGGGCCUUCUUCAUCCCACAAUUUAGCUACUACUACACCAUACUGAAUAAGCUUGACAGAAAAACAGCAUCUCAAAAAUGGCUUGAUCAAAGUGAGAUCUGAAUUGCCUGAAUGCAAGUGGCUUGAAAUUGGGCUUAGAAGUAAACAAGGUCUUGUUGAUUUGGUAAGUUUCAAAGCAAAGAUGCUUUCUGAAAGAGCUUUUUUUUUAAAUGGCCUUCAAAAUAUUAAGACUACACUUUAAAUCAAGGCAGCUUUUUUGGCAGUGUUAUUGGGACUUGGAAUAGGGUAGAUGAAGUUAGAGCAUUUAAGGCAAAUGUGAGGUUUCAAUCCUUUCAUGAUUUAAAACUUCUGUCCAUGGAAAUUAGUCCAUGACAGAUUUAAACCGGUGAUGUGUGCAUCUGUAUGAUUGAAAUCUAGGCACUUUUGUCUGGCUCCCAUCUGCUAAAAAUGAUGGGGUGUGCCUAGUGUGUACAUAAUUGUGCAUGUGUGCACAUAGGUAUUAUCCAUACUCACCAUUUUGACACUGGAAACAGCCUAAUUUGAUCCUGGGAACGUGGGGAGCCCCAAGUACCUCUGAUUCUUUUCCUCCAGACUAGUGAAGAGAAAGCACCUUCUCUGGGUGGCAGGCACCCAGCCUCUGGAUUGAGUUUCUGAGUGCUUGUAAUAUACAGAUUGAUUGAUUGAUGCUAACUUAGAACAGAGUUUGUUGGAAAGGCUGUUUCUUAUCUUUAGCUGCCAUCCACAAAAGCAAAAUCACAGUAAAAAGUGGAGGCCCUGUCCUUUGUGCAACACUUCACUACCAGUCACCACUUAUUUUUUUAGAAGAUCUGUGGCAACCAUUAUCUUGUUCUUUCUUUAUCAUGCAUUUAAAAUGAGAUGCAGAGAUGGCAUUUAAUGUAUUAUGUAAAUACGAGACUUUUAAACAACUUGUUAAAUGAAGCUAUUCACAUGCUUACAAUUCAGCUGCAUCUACGCUUACUUGGUGGGGGGGGGAGGAAGGCAAUUGUAUUAUCUUAUCAGAAUUUAAUGGAAACUAUUCCAUAUAUGUUCAUUUUUUUGUGUAACUCCAAUUUUUUUUUAUAAAGAUGCUAGCAAGUCAAUACAUGUAUCCUGACCUGUGUAUUAUUUGUUCAUAAAGCUUCAGAAGCUGAAACAUUGAAUGAGUAUUUUAGCCAGUGGAGGUAGAGGAAUAUUAAUUUUAUUUUUAUUUUGUCUCUUGGAUAUAGUUUUAUUUAAUUUUGCACCAUUUUCUACUUUAACUUUUAUGUCCUUGCUGAAGAAAAAACUGCAGCUAAUUAUGUGCAGUGCUAAGAUAUUAAUCAUGGCUUUAUAGUAAAAACAUUAAAUGGGCAAUAGAGUAUCCAUUGUUUUAGGGUUUUGCUUUUAUUUUAAGUUUGGCCAGUGACCUUUUUUAAGGUUUGGACAAGGUUUGGUCAUCUUAUAAGAUAUACAGAUAAGCAAGAUAAUAGUAUUUCCAUUAAGAAUUGUGAAAAUGACUUUGGUUUUCUUUCUACUCAUGGGUUAGUUUAUCAUGAGGAUAUAUGGCACUCUUGUAUCAAUAUUGUUUAGUGUUCCUUCAAACUAUCAAAAGCAUGUUAAAAUAUGAAUCUUGAAGAAGAGAUAUUUGAAGUUAGUUUACAAAUAUCAGAAAUGCAAUUUAACAUAAAUUUCUAGUAAUAGAAAUACUGCAGAAGUAAACAAAAUGUUAUGAUGAAACUAGCUAGCAAAGAGUAUAUUGGGGAUUCCUGCACUUACUAUCUACAGCCCUUAUCACAGUAGAGGGGUUGGAUAGUGAUAACAUCCCAUGAAUAAAAAAGAGAGCUAGAGAGAGAAAUGACUGGCCUAUGAAUUGCAGCUUGUAGGUGCUAGAAUGAAUGCCACAAAAUAUGUGGCAAGAACUAGGUCACUCCUGAAAAGAUUUAGGCUAAGUCCAUAUGAUCAUUUGUAUGGCAAACUGUCAACAUCAGGUGAAAUUUCCCCUCCAUUCUCCUUUGGCUCCUACGUUUUAAAAAUGUGCCCUAUGUGAGGAAAUGAAGAGAUAGCAAUUUUCUUUUAAUGAUUGAAUUCAUGUGGUGGCACCACUGUUUCAUUAACAAGGGGCACAUGCGCAAAACAUAGUAACCACAGAGGAAAUGAAGGAGCAGUGUCAACUUGGGUUGUUUCCUUUUCCCAUGAGAAUUGAUACAACAAACAUGCUCUUUUAGCUUUGUUGUAUUCUGACCUCUAAUUUUUGCCUGUCACAGAGUGGAUUCAGUUUGAAUCUGAAAGUUUUAAUUGACAUUGGGAGGUGGGGUUAACAGUUACACUAAGGGUACAGUUUAGAUACUAGUUCAGUACUGAAUAUUAAGCACUUUAUUUGGUUUAUAUGUUGCCGCUCUAAUUUGCACACUUAUAUCCAUAUCUGGACAACUGCUACUGCCAGCACUUUGCAAGAACCUACUCUGUGUAUUCCCUAAUGUUAGAAAAAAAAAUAACAAGGUGUGUGUGGUCUUCUUCUUCUUCUUCUUUUUUUUACAAGGUUUGUUUUCUUAUCUCUGAUUUUUCUGGACAGGGUCCUAGUUCCAUAGAAUUUCUCGUUUCUAUUUUGUUACAUGUCAGAUUUUGCUACAGUCAUUGAUCUCAGAUGUUUACUGAUAGACAAACCUUUUCCCCUUUGAUCACCUGCUUACAAGAUUUCUCACUGUUAGCUUUAUUUUGCAGCAACCAUUUUGGAGAACUAAGUGCCACUGGAAGAAACAAUUAGAUUUUGAAGGAGUGUAAGUGAAAGAAUGAAUACCUCUGGGCACUCACCUUGUUAAGAUUUGCCUGGAAAAUUGCGCUAGGAACACAGUUAGUUACUAAGAUGAAUUUUAUUGCAUCAGUACUAUAAAGGAAUAUUGCAAAAAUAUUAAAUCCUAAGGAUUUUGUGUAAGGUUUAUUUGUAACCUUUUUUUAAAAAUGAAACACUUUAUAUAAAAAGCCUGGGGAGGCCUUAUGUACAGACCACUGAUUCAUAUUGGAUCUCAUGUAUACCAUGUUCUGGUAUCAAUCUGGUUGGGAAGGAUCUUUUUUUUUUUAAAGAAAAUAAGGUAAUAUUCAUAGAAGAUAUUACUGAGUUCUAUGCUCAUUUUGGCUAGCAGGUUGUAGCUGUUUCACAGCAUAUGGGAGUUUGGUGAGAAGGUCAGGUCUUUUUAAAACAAAAAGCCAAACUAAUUUUUGUGCUUCACUAUAGGAUUGGAGGUAGACUUUGCAAAGAAAAAGUAAUGUGUUAAUGCAUGCUCGUUAUUUUUAGAAGGUUUCUGUUAAAGUUUGUUUAGAGCACACUGACAAACUGGGAAGCGAAAUCCCUCAGAAACAGCGAUAAAUUUAAAUGGAGGAUCUAGUAGGGUGUCUUUUCUUACAUAUUUUAUUUAUUCCUUGGGAGAAAUCACUGUUAAUUAUAAAAUUGUAUGAGUAUGUUUACCUGAUCAUUUAUUCAUUUUAUCUUUUACGCCUUGUAGCAAUUUCUCUCUUUUCUGUUUUUGUGUAACAAGAAAUAAACACUACAUGGUUAUUGAUAACAAUUUUCCUUGCAGGCAUAUGAGAAUGGGGAGCUGAUUUCUAGCCUCUCUUUUGAGCUUGACCAAAAACUAAUAAUUUGUUUUUUACAGGGUAAAUAGAUUCAUUACAUGCAUUAAACACAUUUCUUUACAGUAGACCUUCAUGCUGUCAUUUGUUGAAUAAUUUCACCUUCUAUUUUAUUCAGUGCCAUUUUACUUAGCUUUCUUACAGCACAUUCUUCACGAUUCCUAACUCACUGACUCUCACUAACAGCCCAGUGAGAUAAAAAGGAGGUUCUGAUAGAGAUGCUUACCCAAAGCCAUCCCCUUAGCUAAGUGUCAUAGGGCUGGGCUUUCCGUGUUCAGAACCAGAGCCUGGGGAAGUUACUCUUCUGUAUUGAAAUUCCUAGAAUCCCAGGGACCAUGCAGGCUGUAGAAUUCCUCAAAUUGUGGUCCAAAAAUAACCUUUUCAAACUCUGCACAGUACAUUUACCGAUCACUGAUCUCACAUGUAGCUCUUUAAUAGGAUGAUGACAUCCAUCUUUACUCUUGCAUAGUUUCACAGUUUUUCUUAAGAGACUAUUAGAGACCUAUCAGUUGACCCCACUAGGUUUUCCUCAGAGUUAUUGUGAAGCUAUGAAAAUUAGGGCCCCUACUACCACUGCUACCUUCUCUGCUAGGUUUUUCAGUUCAAGAUAAUGCACCUAACUGCCUCGUGCAAGGGUACUCCAUAAAUUUCUUCUCCCUGCUUCUUGUGAUAUUCCUGCUUCUCUUGAACAUGCGUGUGUAUGUGUUCGGGAUCUGUGGAGAAUUUUCUCUCUGAUUGCUUCAGAAACAUGGAGAGUAGAUUCUCUGCCUGUGGCAUAUAGCAUGCAGGGGAAGCAGAGAUAGAAUGGGAGGGAAGGAGAUUUAUAGUGGCUUUUAACAGAGGCAUUCAACAUCCAGCCCUAAAUGCAUGUUCUUAUCUUUCACCAAGUUGAAUGCUUACUUUGGAAAGCAGUCAUUGCUCUUUUUAGGGAAUCCAAUUCUCAGUGCCAAACACUAGCAUAGAAAAGAGAUCUGUUGAGCUGCACAGGUAUUGAGAUCCAUGGCCUACGAAUUCAGCCACAGACAUCCCUGACACAUUAAUCAUUGCUGACUCACAAUUUUGCAGCCCAGUGGGUUAUUGGAGUAAUAAAACACUAUCAGUAUUAUAGGACAAAACAAGAUUUUUGACACCCCUUGGACAACAGUUUGAGUAUUUGCAAAUGUUUAACUUGCUUCUGCAGUGCCCAACCAAUUUUUUUCCUUUACAGGUUUCUUUUUGCCUCUUUUUUAGGAACAAUGUACAUCCUAAAGAACAGGAAAACUUAUCACUUAACCAUACUGUUUAUGUCCAUACAGGAAAAUGGCCUCUACAGCAGUCCCAGGAGAAUGUACCAUUACUAAUCCUUUUUUCUCCUCCUCCUCCUCCUCCUCCUUCUUUUUGCAGGCUCUCCUAGUUCUCACUGAAUUCAGGGACAGUAAUAGUGCUGUAAAUACUACUCAUGUAGCUGUAGUGUCAAACCUUUUGUCUUUUAUUACUAUUACUGAAUUGUGAUCCUUCCUAACCUGUAACUUCAUGAAAUAGCUGUAUACAUUUUGAGUAUGAUCGGAAAUGCCACUCAAACCUGUAAUGUUUAAUCUGGACUGUGAAAUUUGGGUUUGUUGGGAUGCCUGAAAAAGACAGCUGUGCCAUUUUAUUGACUCCGUUGGGGGUUGCUUCUCAUCUCUUGUUUUUAAAGCAUUUGCUACCUACAUUACUUUACAGUUCAUUUUUUAAAAAUGUAUGCAUACUUUUUCACAUCAGAUUCCAUCUUCUUGCCUUAGACCUUUCCUCUGGAGUUUGUUGAUGUAGUACAAAUGUACAAAUUUCUUCACAGAGAUGAAAAUGUAAUAAAAAUGUCAUUUCUGAUUUAACUUGUAUGUCUUUAAAUUUAUUUCACUGUGAUGCACUCAGUCUUCAUUGAUGUAAUUCAAGAGUGUAAAUAAAAAAAACCUUUUAAUUACCAUA